GCCCGGAUGGUGAAAUUGGUAGACACAAGGGACUUAAAAUCCCUCGACUGGAAACGGUUGUGCCGGUUCGACUCCGGCUCCGGGCA
This 86-nucleotide transfer RNA is filed under the name Nitrosospira multiformis. RNAcentral's name for it is "tRNA_Leu_TAA". It matches the Rfam family "tRNA". From Rfam's summary of the family: Transfer RNA (tRNA) molecules are approximately 80 nucleotides in length. Their secondary structure includes four short double-helical elements and three loops (D, anti-codon, and T loops). Lineage: Bacteria; Pseudomonadati; Pseudomonadota; Betaproteobacteria; Nitrosomonadales; Nitrosomonadaceae. RNAcentral also lists the same sequence under 3 other names. The record is from RNAcentral.